AACGAACGCUGGCGGCAGGCCUAACACAUGCAAGUCGAGCGAGGACUACGGUCCUAGCGGCGGACGGGUGAGUAACGCGUGGGAACGUGCCCUUUGCUUCGGAAUAGCCCUGGGAAACUGGGAGUAAUACCGGAUGAGCCCUUUGGGGGAAAGAUUUAUCGGCGAAGGAUCGGCCCGCGUUGGAUUAGGUAGUUGGUGGGGUAAUGGCCUACCAAGCCGACGAUCCAUAGCUGGUUUGAGAGGAUGAUCAGCCACACUGGGACUGAGACACGGCCCAGACUCCUACGGGAGGCAGCAGUGGGGAAUCUUAGACAAUGGGGGAAACCCUGAUCGAGCCAUGCCGCGUGAGCGAUGAAGGCCUUAGGGUUGUAAAGCUCUUUCAGCUGGGAAGAUAAUGACGGUACCAGCAGAAGAAGCCCCGGCUAACUCCGUG
This 433-nucleotide ribosomal RNA is filed under the name uncultured bacterium. RNAcentral describes it as "partial 16S ribosomal RNA". It matches the Rfam family "Bacterial small subunit ribosomal RNA", at positions 29 to 507 of the family's 1533-position model. The record is from RNAcentral.